GAAAGUAAGUAAGGGCGUAUGGUGGAUGCCUAGGCUCACAGAGGCGAUGAAGGACGUGAUAAGCUGCGAUAAGCUUCGGGUAGGUGCAAAUAACCUUUGAUCCGGAGAUUUCCGAAUGGGACAACCUGUUUGUUUGAAGAACAAACACUUACGUUAAAUCGUAAGGGCUAACCCAGGGAACUGAAACAUCUUAGUACCUGGAGGAAGAGAAAAUAAAUAAUGAUUCCCUUAGUAGUGGCGAGCGAACGGGGAAGAGCCCAAACCGUGACUGUGGCAACGCAGCUGCGGGGUAGUAGGACCGCGAUAUUGUAUGCAUGCAGCGAGCAGAAUCCUCUGGAAAGAGGAACCAUAGCGGGUGAAAGUCCCUUAUGCGAAUCUAAUUGCGGCAUAGCGGUAUCCUGAGUAGCGCGGAGCACGAGUAAUUCUGCGUGAAUCAGCCGGGACCAUCCGGUAAGGCUAAAUACUCCUGUGAGACCGAUAGUGAACCAGUACCGUGAGGGAAAGGUGAAAAGCACUUCGAUAAGAAGAGUGAAAUAGUUCCUGAAACCAUACGCCUACAAGCGGUCGGAGCUGCUUUAUGCAGUGACGGCGUGCCUUUUGCAUAAUGAACCUACGAGUUACCAUCUCUGGCAAGGUUAAGAGUAAAGAUACUCCCAGCCGUAGUGAAAGCGAGCCUGAACAGGGCGUUUAAGUCAGAGGGGGUAGACGCGAAACCAAGUGAUCUACACUUGACCAGGUUGAAGUUCCGGUAACACGGAAUGGAGGACCGCACCAAUAAGCGUUGAAAAGCUUCUGGAUGAGUUGAGUGUAGGAGUGAAAGGCCAAUCAAACUUGGAGAUAGCUCGUACUCCCCGAAAGGCAUUUAGGUGCCGCGUGCAUCGAUCUCCAUAAGAGGUAGAGCGACCGAUAGGUCAAGAGGGCUUCACCGCCUAUCGAGACCUGACGAACUCCGAAUGCUUAUGGACUGCAGUCGUGCAGUAAGGGGGCGGGUGCUAAGGUCCGUCCCCGAGAGGAGAAGAAUCCAGACCGUCGUCUAAGGUCCCGGAAUUCUGCCUGAGUUAGUCUAACGAAGUCUGGUCCCCGUGACAGCUAGGAUGUUGGCUUGGAAGCAGCCAUUCAUUCAAAGAGUGCGUAACAGCUCACUAGUCGAGGGUCCGGGCAUGGAUAAUAAUCGGGUAUAAGGCAGAUACCGAAGGCGCGGGAUAGUAAUAAUAAAAGUAUCGGUAGGGGAGCAUUCCAUGUGCGUAGAAUGGUGCAGAUAACUAAUCCUGGAGCGCAUGGAAAAGCAAAUGUAGGUAUAAGUAACGAUAAAAGGGGUGAGAUUCCCCUUCGCCGUAAGUCUAAGGUUUCCCGGGCAAUGCCAAUCAGCCCGGGGUAAGUCGGGUCCUAAGUCUCAGCCGAAUGGUGAGGGCGAUGGCAGAAACGGUUAAUAUUCCGUUACUACCUUUAGGAGCGAUGUGGAGACGUAGUAGUGACACUGCCGCGGGGUGACGGAUAUCCCCGUUAAAGAGUGUAGGCGUAGAUCGGAGCAGGCAAAUCCACUCCGAGAGCCGACCUUGAAAGUACUGCAGCUUCUUCGGGAGCAGCAGAUAGUGCAGGUAAUCAGACUUCCAAGAAAAUCCGCUAAGCAUAUUCUAAAGGUACCCGUACCGCAAUCCGACACAGGUAGACGGGUAGAACAUACUAAGGCGUUGAGAGAUUCAUGGUUAAGGAACUAGGCAAAUUGACCCCGUAACUUCGGGAUAAGGGGUCCUCAUAGUAAUAUGAGGCGCAGAGAAUAGGUCCAGGCAACUGUUUAACAAAAACACAGGGCUGUGCAAACUCGAAAGAUGACGUAUACAGCCUGACACCUGCCCGGUGCUGGAAGGUUAAGAGGAGAUGUCACUAGCAAUAGGAAGCAUUGAAUUGAAGCCCCAGUAAACGGCGGCCGUAACUAUAACGGUCCUAAGGUAGCGAAAUUCCUUGUCGGGU
Molecule: ribosomal RNA, 1971 nt
Filed under: human metagenome
Description: bacterial LSU rRNA
Rfam family: Bacterial large subunit ribosomal RNA
Source: RNAcentral